AUUACUAAGCGGAGGAAAAGAAACUAACAAGGAUUCCCAUAGUAACGGCGAGUGAAGUGGGAACAGCUCAGCGCCGAAUUCCCUGCCUCUGAGGCAGUGUGAACUGUGGUGUUUAGGAGAGCCUAUGCGGCGAAUGUCUGACGUCCGAGUCCUCCUGAUCGGGGCCUUACCCAGAGCGGGUGUCAGGCCUCUACGGCCUCAGACUUCGUCUCUCUGAGCCUCCUUGGAGUCGGGUUGUUUGGGAAUGCAGCCCAAAGUGGGUGGUAAACUCCAUCUAAGGCUAAAUACAGACACGAGUCCGAUAGC
This 306-nucleotide ribosomal RNA is filed under the name Sternaspis sp. RNAcentral describes it as "eukaryotic LSU rRNA". It matches the Rfam family "Eukaryotic large subunit ribosomal RNA", at positions 42 to 341 of the family's 3401-position model. The record is from RNAcentral. Lineage: Eukaryota; Metazoa; Annelida; Polychaeta; Terebellida; Sternaspidae.